ACCCAUGACAUCACAUAGGCAACAGCACAACCCACACACCUGUUGCCAAGGCAACAGCCACCAUAUUCCCAGAAUCCACUUGGCUCCCACCUUUACCUGUGACUAUGUCACCAUCCAUAUAUAGAGGAAAGCUCCUCUGAUCUCUCUUUCUCUCUCUCUCUCUCUGUCUGUCUCUUCUCCCCUUCUCUUUUCGAUGUUACUUUGCCCUUCUCUCUCUCUCAAUAAACCUCAGAUGGAACUGUUUGGCCUGGUGUGGUCUUUCUGGAGGCGCAGGACGAUCAUACCACCAUCCUUAGACACAGGACAGAGCUCCAAUCAAGGUGUACUGGCCGAGUCUAAUAGGACUCCACAGUCACCAGUGUGAAGAAAUCAGAGCAGCCCCCGAGAAAUCAGGCCGAGGGAGUGGAGAGCCAAUCCAUGAAUUUCAACUGAACUGAACACAUUUGUAUUCUUGUUAGCAUUCACAGCAGGUGAUGUAUGAAGGAUGCCUGGGAGCUGGGCCAAAGAGACAUUUUAAGACCUAGCAUGAUUUUGUGCUAAAAAUAAAACUACCAGUCAAAUUUACUUAUUUAUAAGUCAGUUGUGCCACUACCAGGGCAAUGUGAGACCUACUCCGGGGAAGCUGCUCAUCUCUAGCCUCAGGCCCACGUUUCUAACAGGGGAAUAUCCACAUUGCACCACUGGGUCAGGGUUGAAAAUCAGUGGGUGGUAAGUUUCAACACACUCGCCUAGAAACAGCCCCAGGGCUGCUCACAGACUGGGGCCUGGCAGGAUACUGGUGCUAUUUACAUCCUUGUGAAGGUUACUGCUCCUGUCAUAAACACAGUAUGCGUUCCAUAAGCACAAACCUCCAGUUCCUGGCCCCACCCUUUCUUCUCUGCAUCACUGGCUACAGUGCACUGCCCUAGGUUAAGCUUCCCUCUGCUCUGAAGGGGUCGCUUUUCUGAAGGUCACUGGAAUCAAUAUGACAGUGUGGACUUUCAGCUUGGAACAAGCAGGCAGAUGUCAGUUGUCCCGUUCUACUUAUUUCCAAAGAAAGGGCUCCCGUUCUCACCUCGUUCCUCAUCCUUCUCCAUCUUUCCUGGAGCUUUUGAUAAACUCAAUUGAGGCUGGUGAGAUGGUUAAGGGGAUAAAGAAACUGACUGCCAAGUACGACAACCUGAGUUCAAUACCUAGAGGACACACAUGCAACUGUUCCUUUUGUGAUCCCAUUUUGCCUUAAGGUAACCAGAGUUACCUCUAAUGUUUAUAAUAAAGAGCUUUGAAUCAAU
RNAcentral lists this long non-coding RNA (1271 nucleotides) under Mus spicilegus (steppe mouse). RNAcentral's name for it is "lncRNA (ENSMSIG00000014366.1)". The record is from RNAcentral. Lineage: Eukaryota; Metazoa; Chordata; Mammalia; Rodentia; Muridae.